AUUCUUAUUGGAUUAUGACCUUUGAGAGUCGGAAUACAGUAUAAUAGGCGCCUUUAAAGAAAGUGAUGAGAAUUCUUUUCGGUUAGACCUCAGGAAAGCGCAGCGCAAAAUCGAAGGGUUUUCUUUGAAGAGAAUUACAGUGUUUUUCAAACUUGGCAACAAUAUUCUGGAAGUUGAAGAUUGCACAUCUUAAAAGAUGGGACUAUCUCAAGGGUGCCUUAAAGAUCCAUGUAUUGUGUGAAAUGGUAUCAUCCAGGCAUGUUGGAUAUGAUUCUGCUCAUCCCCAGCCUGUGGUCAUUGAAUUUCUCAAGCAGACAAGAUAACAAUAACCCAUUUCCAUUUUUCUGAUAUCUAGCCUGCGGUCCUUAUUAAAAUUUUCAGAUAAAUUCCCUAAGAUUAAUGAUAUUUCCUCCUGUUCUAGAAAAUAAAAUAAGCCCUGAUUGUGGUUGUCCUUGGGAGAGAAGCCAUGUGAACAGCAGCAGAGAGUGACAUUGCAUUAUAUUUUUUGAGCCUCCAAUGGCUCUAAAUUGCUAUCUUGGAACAAUAUAAUUUCUUCCCUGUAAAAUGUCAGUGUAAGCCAUUUGGUAUCAGAAAAUGUAUUUAAUAAACAAAGGAGAACAUUUUGACCUAAUGCUUCGGCAACUGUAGGGGGCACUCUUGCUUUAUGAAUAUCACAUCAAAAGUACAGACUUUUUGGGAACCGUUCAGAAAUUUUGGAAAUGGAUAUUCCCAAAUCCAAAGCAAGAGAAAAGAAGAAUGGAAUAUAUCCCAUAAUACAGUACAAUACAGUUAUGGAAACAGGAGUCACUUACAGUCAUAACAAUAAACUCUACUAUUC
Pantherophis guttatus is the source of this 838-nucleotide long non-coding RNA. RefSeq lists it as uncharacterized. The record is from RefSeq and is a predicted model, not a curated record. Lineage: Eukaryota; Metazoa; Chordata; Lepidosauria; Squamata; Colubridae.